GCAGGAAGAUGUGCAAGCCCCGCGCGGUGGAGGCGGCGGCAGCGGCGGUGGCGGCGACGGCCCCGGGCCCGGAGAUGGUGGAGCGGAGGGGCCCGGGGAGGCCCCGCAGCGACGGGGAGAACGUGUUUGCUGGGCAGUCAAAGAUCUAUGCCUACAUGAGUCCGAACAAAUGCUCUGGAAUGCGUUCUCCACUGCAGGAAGAGAACUCCGUCGCACAUCAUGAGGUCAAAUGCCCGGGGAAACCAUUGGCCGGAAUCUACAGGAAGCGAGAAGAGAAAAGAAACGCUGGGAAUGUUAUCCGAAGCGCUGUGAAGUCAGAAGAACAGAAGAGCAAAGAUACCAGGAGAGGUCCCCUGGCGCCUUUUCCAAACCAAAAACCUGAAGCAACAGAACCUCCAAAAACUCCACCCCCGUCAUGUGAUUCUACCAGUGUAGCGGUUGCUAAGCAAGCCCUGAAAAAGCCCCUCAAGGGCAAGCAGGCCCCUCGGAAGAAGUCUCAAGGGAAGACACAGCAGAAUAGAAAACUCACAGAUUUCUACCCCGUGCGAAGGAGCUCCAGGAAGAGCAAAGCUGAGCUGCAGGAGCUUCUCCUGUCUUCAGCUGAGAAGUUCCGCUGAGAACGCUAGCUCGGAAGUGCUCACUGCUAGUGGUUGACUGCACUCUCCUGUCUGUAAAGUGGUCUGGUAAAGUCCAGGGAUGGAGACACACCUAUAAUCCUAGUAUUCAGGACGGAGUUGAGAGAACUGAUGGAUGUUCUGAUGAGAGUGGUCUGGUCUGAAUAGCAAGUUCCAGUCCAGACAGGGCCACAUAGCAAGACCCAGCCUCAAAAAAGAAAAGAGACGGUAGCGAGUUGUUACAAAGAUGAAAGAUGGGGAUCCACACACAUGCAGUGGCGAAUCGCACACAGGAGAGUGAGGGCAGAGCUCCAGUUCGAGGUCCUCCUUGGCUGCAUAAUAAAACCCUGUCUGAAAGCAAAACGCACUAAUAAAAUGGCCGCCUGGGGCUAGAGGCACAGCUUAUUAGAGUCCUGGCUUGUCAUGUUCCAGAGGGCCACAGCUUCCAUCCCUAGCCCUGCAUAAACUGGAGACGGUGGGUCUUGUCUACAAUCCCAGGACAGGGGUAGACACAGAAAGGCCAAGUGGGAGGAGGUGCUACAUGCCUCUGAUUCCAGUACUUGGGAGGCAGAGGCCAACCUCGUCUACAGAGUGAGUUCCAGGACGGCCAGAGCUGCACAGAGAAACCCUGUCUCGGGGGAAAGAGUUAAGGCUGCGUUACAUAGAGAAUUUGAGGCCAGUCUGAACUAGAUGAGAUAUUCUCAUAAAAGACUUUGUUCUGUAAUGGUGUAGGAGUGCAAAUGGCAGCGAGCUGAGACUGUCACCCUCCCUUGCUUCCCAGUAUAGUCCGUUCCCGUCUGCGUCUGCCUAUUUCUGGCUAAAUGUGAAGUGGCUUAUAGGGAGGAAGGUAGCCAGUCUGGGCAGCCCCACGCCCAUGUAUGCGGUACCCAGUGGGCAGCCUUAUCAACAUUGGUGCAGUGGGGUGUGGUUAUUCUCUCUGUUCUGAAUCCCACUUGGAUGCCCAGGGCGUCAGGGUCAACACCUCACUCUCCUUUAAGACUUUGACUCUGAAGGCUUCAGAUCACCUCAGAGCAGGGGAGAGGGGAUUGAUUUGGGCAGCCUGGGUGUUCUGUAUGCUGCUGAGGUCCCCUCAGUAUCCGAGAUGGCAGAUCUGCAUGCAGAGCUUCAGGUUAGUGCAGCUUUAUCCAGAUCAAGCCCAAGGGAGGGGGGCUGCUUCCCUCCCUCCCCACCUGCCCACCCCACUAGCUUUCACUUCAUUUCUUGUGAAAGGCAGUGCCUUGGCCAAGAAUGAGCUGUUAGAAAUGCCUGCCAGCAGUGGGACGGUGUGCUGGGUCACUCUCAAAGGCUGCAUUGCAGAGCAGAGGUGGUGCCUGCCCACAGAACCCAGAGCUCCUCCCAGCCAGGCAGGCGGCAUGGCAGGCCCCACACGGGCAAGUGCUGCUGGGUGGGAGUACCUAAGUCAGUGGUGCUAAAGAAAAGCCAGGCUCUUGUGCCUGGAGAGCGGAGGCCGGAAGGCUGCAGAGCUGCAGGGGGACUGCAGAGCUCACCUGCUCACUGCAGCUGAUAAGCAGGCAAGGAUAGCACACCCUGUUUCCAGAUAGAUAGAGCAGGAAGCAGCACCAGCAGGCAGGCACCAUGCUGUGCCCCUCUGUUUGUCUUGGCUCUGCUGAAAGAGCACUGUUCCCCUGUCGCUGGCAUGGCAGGGAAGUGACAGCUGCCCGUGGCGCCAUGGAUGUGACUGUUGCUGGCAGAGUUUGUAUUCUGUUGACUGCAGAGAAAGCUGGAGGGCAUGGCAGUGAGGUCUGUCAGGGACUGAAGUUCCGCCUGCUCACCUAACUAGGUUAGUCUAGGGGCUGAGUAAGUGGACUGAGAAGCUGUACUUGACCAGUGGCCAAGAGUGAAAUCAAAGUACCAAGUGGUGGGACACCUUGUGGGGCUUAAGAAAAGCUGCUGGGGCAGAACCAGGUCCAGAGUUCAGAGCCGGAGGGAGCUAUUUAAGCACAGGGCAAGCAAGCCAUAGGGAAAUGCCCCCAGCCUUGUGGCUGCCUGGCUGGCCUGCUCCUCUGUGGGGGGCAACUGUACUGCAGCAGAGGCAGCUCCCUGGCUGCCUCCUCUCUGAUACUCCCUGGGGACUGCAAGGAGCCAUCUGUCCUUCCUGUCCAUCUUCCCUCAGACCUUGCCUACGCUGAGAAGACCCCUAGGUAGUGCUGGAGUGCAGCGGUAGAGCCCUUGUCUCACAUGCAUGAGGAUGCAGGUGUAGUCACCAGUACUGUCAGGAGGACGAAACCUAACUCUGCCUCCUUUGGAUGGUUGGUGAGAUGGAGUAGUUUGGUUCCGUGGUGAGCCCAAGGCUCCUUAACUCCAGAGCAGAGGAAAUAAGCAGGCACAUGGAUCAGGGAAAAGGUCACACUAGGCAGGAAGGACAGCUGCUCCGUAGCCUAGAGGCUGGAGACCGGGCCUUCUGGAAGAGCCUGUUGUGUGGGGGAUGGGUGGAGGGGAGACAUUGACGCCUGUACCUUACAGAAUCUAUCCACAUAAGGAAAAGUCCUGCACAGUGACACACGCCUUUAAUCUCAGCACUCAGGACGUAGAGGUGGACAGAUCUCUAAGUUUAAUUCCAAACUCUCAAAAUAGAAAAGUUUAAUGAGUGGACGGGUAACUCACAUUCUGGGUGAGGUUAUGUCUUGUUUUAAUCUCAUUAAGUUCCAGGCCAGCCUUGACACAUAGUAAAAGCCUAGUUAUUUAUUUAUUUUUUAAUUUUUUUUUUUUUCGGAGCUGGGGACCGAACCCAGGGCCUUGCGCUUCCUAGGCAAGCGCUCUACCACUGAGCUAAAUCCCCAACCCCUAUUUUUUAAUUUUUAUUAGUGUUUGUUUUCCAAACAGUGUCUCUAUGUAGCCCCAGCUGCCCCAGGCUUAUAGUUCUGAAAGCUUAUAGUUCUAAGAGUUCUUAUAGUUCUAAAAGAGCUGGGUGUGGUGGUGCCUUUCAAAGUAACAAUAAUAACAAUCUUUUCAGAACAUUCCUGUGGCAAUAGGUAAAGAACUGGGUAUUGUAGUGGAAGCCCUGAGACUCCGGAGAUGGCUGUCAGAUAAUGGCUUGAGGGAGGACAGUAGGGGCUGAGGAGAAGGUGACUAGAUCUCAGACUGUCCUGAGGUCACCCGUUCACACUCCCUCAGCACUGUCUCCAUCACACAUCCCAGGGCCUGUUCCAGGGUAGGUGUGGACUGAAUGACUGGCUAGCUAUGUCCUGGUCCCAGGCUCUGCCUAUAAGGUCUAGCAAGGGUGUGAGUUCCACAGGUGGCAAGACCUCCACGGAUGGCAUCAGCCUCGAGGAAGGCCCUCCGUGCUAGUGAGCCAGAGCUGUGGGCACCUGGUGUCUGUAGCCCCUCUUGUUCCCUAGCAUCUUGUGUAAUGAGAGGGCACAGUGAGACGGAGUAGCAGCAGGAGAGAACCUGUGGUGGUUCCCUAGCUCCUCUGUUCCUUGCUGUGUUGUUCUGCUGGUUAGGAGCACAGGCAUAGCUCAGAGAGCUGGCAUAGACCUCCAGGGGGAGUAUCGGUUAGCUUAGCCAGGAGGGACAAGGAGCAGGUAUGUCCUGCCUGUGAUCUGCUCUGCUCAGUUCAUCCAUUUAUUUGCUUGGUGGUGCUGGGCAUUAAAGCCAUAUAUAUGCUGAGCAAACAUUGAUUCUUUUUUUUUUUUUUUUUUUUUGGUUCUUUUUUUUUUGGAGCUGGGGAUCAAACCCAGGGCCUUGCGCUUCCUAGGCAAGCGCUCUACCACUGAGCUAAAUCCCCAACCCCACAUUGAUCCUUUUUUGCCUCCUUUUCUAUUUUCCUUUUUAUUUUGAGACAGGCUUUCACCAGAUUGCCCUACGCCGGCCCACAUCUCACUUUGUAACUCAUAUUGGCCUCAAAUGUCUGAAAACUGUGCCUCAGGCUCUUGAGCAGCUAGGAUGGCAGGCGUAGGCCACCAUGCGCAUAGUGAGGGAUGGUCACUUCGUAAGGAGUCAGCCUCCAGGUCUUACGUUUACUUGUAGCAGGGGCAUUCGUGAGCUGUGGUUUGUGUAUGGUGAUCAGAGAGAUUGUACAUUGUUCUAGGGAUCAAAUUCAGAUGGUCAGGAUGGCCAGCAGUUGAAGUGCCUUUGCACAGUGAGCCUUCUCGACAGCCCUAGAGUCCUGUUUCUUAGAUCCUGGUGAAUUAAAAACCAUUUUUUUAAAGUACUCUACAGGAUAAACUUCAUGUUUAAGCCUCUGCAACAAAUGCCCGAGACAGUAAAGGUUCAUCUCUGUUACUGUGGCAGAGACUUGAGGCUGUUAGUUGACGCCUGUUGCUUCGGACAUCAUGGGGGAGCAUGUGGGACAAGAGUGCUCUCCUGACUGCUGAAAGUGAGAGACUAGGCCGGAGUCUCACUGUCCCACGCAGAGCAGAUUCCCAGGGACCCUGGUAGGACCCACCUCUUAGUGGAUUGAAUGUUUCCAAUGCUUACCAUAGUGUGGGCCGGCCAGUUCUUCACAGGGACCCUUGGGAAACACUGAAGAUCCAGACGACUUAGGUAUGCUGAUGCCCAUUCAUAACCCACACUUCCCAGGCUAGGGCAGGAAGAACGUGAGUCAAGGCCAGCCUGGGCUUACAGUCUGAAUUCCCUGACUCAGAACCAACCAACCAAACACACACCAAAGACUGAAAAUACAACAGGCCAGAACUGUGUGCCUCUUGUCCAGGCAAGGCUGGGUGAUGGCUGCUCAUGGCAGAUGGUCGAGGAGAGGUUGCUGAGGGCAGCACAGGUUGGCUGUGGCGUGGCAUGUGAACACUAACACUGUUCUUAACUCCACACAGUCUGAAGAAAGGAAGAAGAUAGAUGAGCUAAUUGAGAGCGGGAAGGAAGAGGGCAUGAAGAUUGAUCUAAUCGAUGGCAAAGGCAGGGGUGUGAUUGCUACCAAGCGAUUCUCCCGGGGAGACUUUGUGGUAGAAUACCAUGGAGACCUC
Non-coding RNA from Rattus norvegicus (Norway rat), 5554 nucleotides. Lineage: Eukaryota; Metazoa; Chordata; Mammalia; Rodentia; Muridae. The record is from RefSeq and is a predicted model, not a curated record.